AUGCGGAUUAGUUAUGCCACACAAAAAUUUAUAACCCAUCCAAUUAGGUAACAAGUUGGAACUAUAGAGUACUUUUUUUUGAACCUGCUUCAUACCAAAUCUCGUAAUGAUUUACCCAUUAAAAGAUCUUAUGACAUACACAAUGGAAUUUCAAAUUUGACUUCAGACCGGACUUAUGCUUUAUUGGCCCUGAUAAUUAUAUUUCAUAUUUGGUUAUUUUGUGA
This 224-nucleotide long non-coding RNA is filed under the name Elaeis guineensis (African oil palm). RNAcentral describes it as "long non-coding RNA (EGUI_LNC080200)". Lineage: Eukaryota; Viridiplantae; Streptophyta; Magnoliopsida; Arecales; Arecaceae. The record is from RNAcentral.